GGGCGCUCACAUUGACAACUGAGUUUUACUGAAAAACAUAAUCCCUCAGACUGAGUUUCAUUACCCAAGAAACCCACAGGGUGGCAAUAACACUGAGUUAAAAGUAAGUUCACAGUGGAAUUCUAAGAAACAGGCUUCCUCAGUGGCUAAUGUUCUUUUUCUCAGUGCCCUGCCUUCUCAAUAUUAGCUGUAUCCAAGACAGAACUGUCUUUUCUCUUGGGGUGGAAAUUGCAUCUCCUAAAAACAUUCUCUGUGUCUGGCAGUCAUUUCUAUCACAAGAGAAAUGGUCUUUUCCUAGCUCUAUCAUCCAUUCCAACACUUAACAUGCCUCUGGUGGCAUGUCCAAGUUUGGAGAAUAAUUUUCACCUUGUAUUCUGGAUUCUGACAAUAUUCUUCCUCCAUCUCCAAGAAGUGGCUUAAUUUUUAACAAUUCAUUCAAAAAUGAGUGUCUUAUACCCAUCCCCCACUAAAAAGUGUUCUGGAAACAUUUGUUGAGUAGGGUUGCAUUUACCCUAAUUUCCUUCAUCUACUUCUGG
Molecule: long non-coding RNA, 536 nt
Filed under: Sus scrofa (pig)
Lineage: Eukaryota; Metazoa; Chordata; Mammalia; Artiodactyla; Suidae
Description: lncRNA (ENSSSCG00055014053.1)
Source: RNAcentral